GUUCAUGCAUUAUUUUUUUAGUGUAAAUUCUCAGUUUAUUAAAGCUAAGCUAAAUACACAGCAAACACAAGCUUAGCUCAGGCACUGGUUCACAGGAACUUGGCAGAGGCCUGCCUGCAUUUCAGAAUCCUUGUCCUUUUUCUAGAUGAAAGCCCUGCAGAAGGAUUUGUUUUUCAGAUGGAAGGCAAGCCAAGUUGGUGAUUUCAUCCCAAGGCAGGCUGUGUCAAGCUGGUCCUAUUCAAACAUGCAGGAAAUCAACCUUGGAGCUCAUUCAGAAAUGAGAAUGCAGAGUGGGGGUAGAGAGGGGGCUGUGAGGAGGACGAGAUCUUGAAUUUUGAAACUGAGCUCCAAACAAGCAGGAAAGAUACCUGCUGUCAGUGUAAUGCUGCAGGGACCUUCUGAAGAAUAAACUGGCAAGCUUUUAAGUAGCAUUUCUUAAUUCCUAGCUCUUCCAAGAAGCAAUCUCAUCUUUGUCCUCAUGCAGCCCUGCAAGGGCCAUGCAUAGCAUCCUAAGAGGUCAGGUGGCUACCACAGACUGAGCAAAUUUUCUGAAGACAUUUUCCACCUUCUCUACAUGUGCCAUAUCUGUUCAGGCAUGGCCCAAAUCUUCAUUUUUCUUGUCAUUGCAUCGCAAAGGGCAAAGAUGAAAAGAGCCUGCAAAACUUGCGUUGCUUCUUCCUCAGUUACCUGUAACCCGAAACAGCACAGAAAGCACAAUGCAGAAAAACUUGGCAUAAUUUUAUCUGAUGCUUUUCUGCAGCUGCAAAGUUGCCAUUGUUCAGCAAGGAUAGCACUCCAAGAACCUCCGUCACCAUACAGCACUUCUGCUGCAGCUAAUCACGUGGGAAAUUAGUGAACCUGCUUGGGAUCUGUGUGCAAGUGUGUAUAAUUCUUCAUCCCUAAAGAAAACCUUUCCAGUGAGGCAGGCAGUGUUUGCUGUCACUGUUAGUAAAAACUAAGACUUGCUCCUUUGCACUUACCCAGUCUGCAUAAGAACUUCAAGGACUCCAGUCCUUCCUUUCUAGCAAUUGCUUUCAUGGAUCCAGAAUUUAGUGGUUUAUUUAAUCAAAUGCUUUCUGAUGUGAAUAAUACCAACAAAGUGUUUGCAGCUUAGCCUGGAGGAUGGGAAAAAUGCAAGCACCAAAAGCCAAGGCAGUUUCUUAAUGUUGAUGCUCAUUAGGUACUUUUUAACAUUAGUGGCUGGUUCUGGAAUCUGCCCACGCAGGCUGGAGGCUGAGGAAAUAUUAUUUGAACACAUCUGCUCCGAGAGAUACUGUCAGACUUUGGGAGCAUCUUGUGGUAAUUAGGAGAAUUCAUUCCCUAAUUUGGUCCAGCAGAGUUUAUUCCUGAUUGUUUUAUUCUUUUUGUGAGCUCUUUUAAAAUUUUACUUUCUGCUUUGUUUUUUUGGCAGGUGAAAUGCUCCCAGGUAAUGUUAUAACCCCGUGUUCACAUAGCACCUUCCUACUUGCAAAACUUGGCAGAGAAGCUCGCAGUCACGAGCUCUGAGUUUUAGUCACUCACUGACUUUCCACCUACCUGCCCCUGACAUAACUUCUCUCCCCUUCCUCCCCCUCUCCCAGUCCACGUGUGUGCAUCUGCUCUCCAGACAUAAACCCCCUGCAAAACCCCAGGGUUAAAGCAGACCACUUGUACGCCUUUGGCUGUCAGUGCUAAAUGUUGCCCUGAGCUCUCCCCCCAGUUUCCUCUGCUUUGAGUGACGUGCACUUUGUGGUGAAAGAAAGAGGUUUAACUGGAUCAGCCAGGUGAUCUCCCAGGCCAGAAGUGGCCCAGACAGCAUCUGAUGAAGUGAGACUGACUCACUGGCCACCUUCUCCUGCAACCCUCACUUGGAAGCCACGUUUCCUCACUUUACUACCAUCAUCUUCCUCUUCAUUUCUGACGGUCUUGCCACAGGCAGGAUGGUACCCAUCCUCAAACUCACCCUGUCCUUCAACUCAGGGCUCAAUCCUCCAGGAACAUUCAUCUCCCACGUGAGAAGAGUUCCCUUACAAAAUAGUUUAAAGAAGAGGACAGCUUUAAAGCCCUGUGCUUCUUUUUCUGAAGAGGAGCCUUUAAUAUGGUUUAAUUAAAAGGUCAUCCUGCAGAGCUCGUUUGAUGUCAGCUUUGAAAUUCUGUACAUUUUGUUUCCAUUCUUAUUCUUUUGUAUGUUUAAAUCUGUACAUUUCCAAAUAAGGUUUUUGUGUGCUCACCACAGAUCUCUGUAUUCACUCCUUGAACCUUAAUGCUCUUUGUAGCAUUGAACAGUGACAGAGUUAUGUUAACCUCUCUGCCUCACUAGGCACAUUUGUUCCCUCAAAAAUCAACACAGCAGCCACAGGCACUGACAUCUGAAACAGUCCUGGUGCUCCUUGUAGCACUGAGUUUCUCUUUAGGCUAUGUGGAUUGCACAGGGUGCCUUGCAAGGAACCACAGACCAGAAAAGCAGAUCCUCAAGAAAAGUGAACCCCUAACUAGAAAAACAUAGGCUCUUGUGUGCUGGGUUUUUUUUUUUGUUUGUUUGUUUGUUUGUUUUUGCUGUCCUCUCAGCCAGGCUUGGUUCAGAACAAGGUGGAUGCUGGAGGCUCUAGCUGGAACUUCUCUAUGUCAGAUCCAGGAGAUUGAACUGCUGCUUUCAGGAAUCUAUGGUUGGUAACGUGCAGGAAAGCUACUGUGGAAACUAGGUGAAUGUGCUGGGAAGACAACGCAAUCAAAAAGUGCUUUAUGUGCUGGGAAGCUUCAGUGAAAGAGGUACAGGUUCCAAAGGACUUGUGUGAACUGUGAUGGAGCCCCACGCAACAAGGGGAUGGCAAAGACAGCAGCAAGCCAUGCUGUAGAAAUUCUUGAAGUAGGAGGAAGGUAACUUGCUGCUGCUUGAUGCCAUGGUUCCCAGCACUCGAAGCAAUGUGCUCCAGGGUAGUGUGGAAUUAACAUCUGAGAGACUGAGAUGAUAUCCCUGUAGAUCCUGACUUCACUCAGAACCUGACCUGCUUCAGUCUGAAUGUCUCUGGUAUUUUGCAGGGCGAAGAGAGGGAUGAGUAUUCCUGGCAGUCAUGAGCUGUGUUGCUUUGAGUGAAACGCAGUAAUUACAGAGGGAAUGACACUUGAGGCUGGGAGCAGUCCCAGCCCUGCACUGGUUCCUCAGGAGUCACCUGGGAGGCUGCUUCAUGCUUUACCCAAAUUGAGCAGAAGGCUCUUGGACACAUCCUCUGCUGUGGUUUGACCAGAGGAAUACUUGAUAAUGCAGCGCACACUGCUGAGAUCACCCUUCUGGCAAAUGCCUGCUGUGGUAUGAGACCCAGUCAUCUGGCAGCACAUUGCUUACUGCAGUCUCCAAGGCAACCCUCCAUGCUGUUCUUCUUUGGAAGCUCUGCGCAUUCGUAAAGAAGCUGUCAUCCCUCUUACAGUAAGUGCAGCAGAUGUGAAAGAUUUUACCUGUGCCAAUGAACCCCAGGAUGCUGUUGCUCAGAGGGGCAGUGCUGCGUUAGGUAUAAUGCUUCUCUCUGAAAUGGCAUGACAAAAUGUCUCCUGCUUUGUGCUCUGAGCCUUUUAAUGUGUCUGUAGCCAACAGUGUUUGCACAAAGAGACUGGGCUGCCGUGAGGAUUACAGAAGACCUCUUCUGAGGCACAGCCUUGCGGUGCUGACAUCUGCCACAAAAAGAAUUCAUUUUGGAAGGCUGGUCCCAAGGUGGAUUUAAUGGUCCUGCGCUAAAAAGUGAAUGCUUCUGGUAUGGAAACCACUGAACUGCAGUGUGGACCCUCAUGUUUCGUAGAGGCUUCUCUGUUUCUUCAGUUGUAUUGAUAAGGAGGAGCUGACAUCUUCUGUGUUGUGGAUGCUGAACCUGGCAGUUCAGAGGGGCAGUUAUCUGCCCCAUUGUCCCAUCAGAAGUCCUCUGGGGAGAGGCUGCAAAUCAAAUGGGGUGGAUAUCUUCUCUUCUGCGAUAGGUAGGCCUGGUACAUGCUCAGUGCUAGUAGGUAGAAAUCAACUUCAUCAGUGCUAGCUGGCCAAUGCUAGAACUCAGGCUGGAACUUAAGGCUUCAGGUUUAUGUUUUGUCUCUUCUCACGUUUUAUUUUUUUUGAUUGAUCUAAUGCUCCUGCAGAAAUCAAGGACUGCUGCUUUCUUCUUGCUAAAGAUAUUGCAAUUCUUUGGGGGUGAGCAAGGUAGGAGGGAAAAACUCCGUGCUCUUAGUGUGGAAAAGACCACACUUCCUUGCCUCCUUUGGUAGAUGAUGUGUAGACCUUGCCCAGAAGAAUUGUCCAGCUUCAAAAUGGGCAUCUGACUCUAUUCCUGGUGGUUUUGUUGUUGUUUUGUUUUUUUUUAGGGUCAUCAACAUACAGCAAGAGACUCCUCUUUUUGGAGGAAGCCCAAGCCGCCAUCUCAGAAGAGUGGCUGAGCCAUAUAACAGCUGAAGUUAAAACAAGGAAAUGAGACCUAUUCUGCUCAGUGCACCCAUGAUCUGAGGAGCUCCUGUCCAGGAGCAUCAGCUAGGUUGGAGCUGCUGAUCGCAGAAACUAAGGAGGACCAAGGUAUUUGUUAAGUGCAGUGAACCUACAGCCAUCCAAAGUAAUUCAGGGCAGAUGAUGCUUAGUGCAGAGCCUGGCUUGGGGAUAGCUGAGAACGAGCGCUCGUUAUUGCUGCCUUAUUGGAGUUUGAGUGCUGCUGGUCCAGAAGACUUCGAUCUACUCUGCAGAGGAAAGACUCUAUAGGAGCCUGCAGUCUGGUGAGGAAAAAACCAAGAGAAGAUUCGCCUGUACUGGACCAGGAGACCACCCAGCAGCAGGACUGGACAGAGGGUCUGCAUAGAGGGAGAAGUGAAGCACAGGCCCUCCCCUGUGAGCCCUAGCAGCUGUGCUUCUGGCACACCCCGGCCAAUGCAUCACCUUGCCAGCCACAUCUGCCUCUGCAGCGCUCUGGUGGGAAGCUGUUUCCAGCACUGCCUGUGUCAGCACCUCUUCCAGUACAGCACAAAGGAGCUGUGCCUCUCUGGACUGGAGGCCUGAGGAUGCCCAAAGCAGCACGUCAGAGCCUGGUGCAGCUGCUGAGAAGAGGUAAAGGGUUUUGGAGUACUUCCAUUUGUGAUGCUCAGCCUCCUCCUAGGACAGCUGUUCACAUGGAAAUGAGCUUGGGUUGGAGGGUCUGUGCUGCAGAUUUCCUAAAAGAGGAGCAGUUGCACAGAAGCCCAUGAAGAACCACCCAGACCAUGUAUUAUAAAAUAUCCCAGUUUAUUAGAGCAUUUCCAUUUCAUAGAGAGUCUUACAAAAAAAAUGUAUUUACAGAUAAAGAAAGAUUUAACUACAUUCACUGGGAGU
Molecule: non-coding RNA, 5308 nt
Organism: Meleagris gallopavo (turkey)
Lineage: Eukaryota; Metazoa; Chordata; Aves; Galliformes; Phasianidae
Source: RefSeq, a predicted model, not a curated record